RNAcentral lists this ribosomal RNA (774 nucleotides) under uncultured Neocallimastigales. RNAcentral describes it as "partial large subunit ribosomal RNA". It matches the Rfam family "Eukaryotic large subunit ribosomal RNA", at positions 20 to 644 of the family's 3401-position model. Lineage: Eukaryota; Fungi; Neocallimastigomycota; Neocallimastigomycetes; Neocallimastigales. The record is from RNAcentral.
UACUAGAGUAGCACUCGCAUAUCAAUAAGCGGAGGAAAAGAAACUAACAAGGAUUCCCCUAGUAACGGCGAGUGAAGCGGGAAGAGCUCAAAUUUGAAAUCUUAAAGGGUUUCCCUUUACGAAUUGUAGUUUAAAGAAGUGUUUUCUGUUGAGGUUUUGGUAAAAGUUCUUUGGAAUAGGACAUCAUAGAGGGUGAGAAUCCCGUAUUUGACCUUUACUUUCAACUUUGUGAUACACUUUCAAAGAAUCGGAUUGUUUGGGAAUGCAGUCCAAAAUGGGUGGUAAAUUUCAUCUAAAGCUAAAUAUUGGCGAGAGACCGAUAGCGAACAAGUACCGUGAGGGAAAGAUGAAAAGAACCUUGAAAAGAGAGUUAAACAGUACGUGAAAUUGUCAAAAGGGAAGCGUUUGACACCAGUGUUGUUUUUCUGAAAAUCAAUUAAAGAACUGCUUAUGCUAAGCUGUUUAGACUUUAUCAGCUAUCUGUUUAGUUUUGAGCUUUUCUUUAAUGCACUUUUCAGUUAACAAGUCAACAUCAAUUUCUUUUGCUGUAAAAAAGCUUGAGGAAGGUGGCUUGAGAUUCGUCUUAAGUGUUUAUAGCCUCUUGCCUAUGCAGUCGGAGAGAUUGAGGUCUGCAGCGUAGAUCCUUCGGGGCUAAAUGCAUUUGUGCUAAGUUAUAGCAUUUUAUAGACAACUUGUUGACUAUGAUUUGUCUUGUAGCUUACUCGCUUAUGUUAUUUUACCUACGCUUAGGAUGUUGAACUACUGAGACAUAGA